This 347-nucleotide ribosomal RNA is filed under the name uncultured eukaryote. Its description in RNAcentral is "SSU rRNA". It matches the Rfam family "Eukaryotic small subunit ribosomal RNA", at positions 594 to 945 of the family's 1831-position model. The record is from RNAcentral.
AUAGCGUAUAUUAAAGUUGUUGCAGUUAAAAAGCUCGUAGUUGAACUUCAGACCUGGUCGGGCGGUCCGCCUCACGGUGUGUACUGUUUGACUGGGCCUUACCUCUUGGUGAGCCGGCGUGCCCUUUAUUGGUGUGCGUCGGGGAACCAGGACUUUUACCUUGAGAAAAUUAGAGUGUUCAAAGCAGGCCUAUGCCCGAAUACAUUAGCAUGGAAUAAUAAAAUAGGACGUGUGGUUCUAUUUUGUUGGUUUCUAGAGUCGCCGUAAUGAUUAAUAGGGAUAGUUGGGGGCAUUGGUAUUGAGUCGCUAGAGGUGAAAUUCUUGGAUUGACUCAAGACCAACUAUUG